AAACCUCUUACAUAUUUGACAAUCAGUUUCAAACCAUUCACAAGUUUGACAAAACUCAAUGUAUACAAUAUCAUAAAACUCCAAUCAACAUAACUUAACAUUGAAACUCAACAUUCAUGAGACAAGAAUGAAAACAAUAGAAUAUAGCAAAUACAAUCAUGCAAUUUCAGUUUAGGUCACCAUAGCUUCGCCUUAGCUUUCCUUUCCUGCUCUAGUCUUCUCUGUAAACUCUCUUCCCCCCCUUCUGGCCACAAUUAUAACUCCUUUAAAAACUCACCCUAACACAUC
RNAcentral lists this long non-coding RNA (288 nucleotides) under Vigna radiata. Its description in RNAcentral is "long non-coding RNA (VRAD_LNC000899)". Lineage: Eukaryota; Viridiplantae; Streptophyta; Magnoliopsida; Fabales; Fabaceae. The record is from RNAcentral.